RNAcentral lists this ribosomal RNA (240 nucleotides) under uncultured bacterium. RNAcentral describes it as "partial 16S ribosomal RNA". It matches the Rfam family "Bacterial small subunit ribosomal RNA", at positions 122 to 356 of the family's 1533-position model. The record is from RNAcentral.
UAACCUGCCCAAGAGACUGGGAUAACACCUGGAAACAGAUGCUAAUACCGGAUAACAACACUAGACGCAUGUCUAGAGUUUAAAAGAUGGUUCUGCUAUCACUCUUGGAUGGACCUGCGGUGCAUUAGCUAGUUGGUAAGGUAACGGCUUACCAAGGCAAUGAUGCAUAGCCGAGUUGAGAGACUGAUCGGCCACAUUGGGACUGAUACACGGCCCAAACUCCUACGGGAGGCAGCAGCG